CAAAUGACUCUCGGCAACGGAUAUCUCGGCUCACGCAUCGAUGAAGAACGUAGCAAAAUGCGAUACUUGGUGUGAAUUGCAGAAUCCCGUGAACCAUCGAGUUUUUGAACGCAAGUUGCGCCCGAAGCCUUUUGGCCGAGGGCACGUCUGCCUGGGCGUCACAC
RNAcentral lists this ribosomal RNA (164 nucleotides) under Luina hypoleuca. RNAcentral describes it as "5.8S ribosomal RNA". It matches the Rfam family "5.8S ribosomal RNA". From Rfam's summary of the family: 5.8S ribosomal RNA (5.8S rRNA) is a component of the large subunit of the eukaryotic ribosome. It is transcribed by RNA polymerase I as part of the 45S precursor that also contains 18S and 28S rRNA. The record is from RNAcentral. RNAcentral also lists the same sequence under 6 other names. Lineage: Eukaryota; Viridiplantae; Streptophyta; Magnoliopsida; Asterales; Asteraceae.